AGUGAACGCUGGCGGUAGGCCUAACACAUGCAAGUCGAACGGCAGCACAGUAAGAGCUUGCUCUUACGGGUGGCGAGUGGCGGACGGGUGAGGAAUACAUCGGAAUCUACUUUUUCGUGGGGGAUAACGUAGGGAAACUUACGCUAAUACCGCAUACGACCUACGGGUGAAAGCAGGGGAUCUUCGGACCUUGCGCGAUUGAAUGAGCCGAUGUCGGAUUAGCUAGUUGGCGGGGUAAAGGCCCACCAAGGCGACGAUCCGUAGCUGGUCUGAGAGGAUGAUCAGCCACACUGGAACUGAGACACGGUCCAGACUCCUAUGGGAGGCAGCAGUGGGGAAUAUUGGACAAUGGGCGCAAGCCUGAUCCAGCCAUACCGCGUGGGUGAAGAAGGCCUUCGGGUUGUAAAGCCCUUUUGUUGGGAAAGAAAAGCAGCAGGUUAAUACCCCGCUGUUCUGACGGUACCCAAAGAACAAGCACCGGCUAACUUCGUG
This 492-nucleotide ribosomal RNA is filed under the name uncultured bacterium. Its description in RNAcentral is "partial 16S ribosomal RNA". It matches the Rfam family "Bacterial small subunit ribosomal RNA", at positions 29 to 507 of the family's 1533-position model. The record is from RNAcentral.